Non-coding RNA from Zea mays, 71 nucleotides. The record is from Rfam. Lineage: Eukaryota; Viridiplantae; Streptophyta; Magnoliopsida; Poales; Poaceae.
GCGAGCGUAGUUCAGUGGUAAAACAUCUCCUUGCCAAGGAGAAGAUACAGGUUCGAUUCCCGUCGCUCGCC